CUGCUCAAUGAAUUUUUAAAUAGCUGCAGUAUAAAUAACUGUACUAAGGUAGCAUAAUAAUUAGUUUAUUAAUUGUGAACUAGAAUGAAGGAUUAAAUGAGAUAUAAACUGUCUUUAAAAAAAAAAUUAAAUUUAUAUUUUAAAUAAAAAUAUUUAAAUAAGUUUAAAAGACGAGAAGACCCUAUAGAAUUUAAUUUACUUUAAUUUUAAUUUUAUUUAUUAUUAAAAUUUUAAGUAAAUUUUAUUGGGGUAAUUUUAAAAUUAAAUAAAUUUUUAUUAAAAUUUUAACAUUAAUAAGUGGAAUUAAUAAUAUUUUUAAAUUUUAAAUAUAAAAUUAAAUUACCUUAGGGAUAACAGCAUAAUUUUUUUUUUAAGAUCAAAUUUAAAAAAUUGAUUGUGACCUCGAUGUUGAAUUAAAAUUAAUUAAAAAGGAAAAUUUUUAUAGUUUAAGUUCUGUUCGACU
RNAcentral lists this ribosomal RNA (463 nucleotides) under Schizoprymnus sp. RNAcentral's name for it is "partial 16S ribosomal RNA". The record is from RNAcentral. Lineage: Eukaryota; Metazoa; Arthropoda; Insecta; Hymenoptera; Braconidae.